This is a ribosomal RNA of Gadus morhua (Atlantic cod), 119 nucleotides long. NCBI's taxonomy places the organism in Eukaryota, Metazoa, Chordata, Actinopteri, Gadiformes, Gadidae. The record is from Ensembl.
AAUGGCGGCCAUACCUCCCUGAACACGCCCGAUCUCUUUUGAUCUUGGAAGCUAAGCAGGGUCGGGCCUGGUUAGUACUUGGAUGGGAGACCGCCUGGGAAUACCAGGUGCUGUAAGUC